AGACCCGAAACCCGGUGAUCUAGCCAUGGGCAGGUUGAAGGUUGGGUAACACUAACUGGAGGACCGAACCGACUAAUGUUGAAAAAUUAGCGGAUGACCUGUGGCUGGGGGUGAAAGGCCAAUCAAACCGGGAGAUAGCUGGUUCUCCCCGAAAGCUAUUUAGGUAGCGCCUCGUGAAUUCAUCUCCGGGGGUAGAGCACUGUUUCGGCUAGGGGGCCAUCCCGGCUUACCAACCCGAUGCAAACUGCGAAUACCGGAGAAUGUUAUCACGGGAGACACACGGCGGGUGCUAACGUCCGUCGUGAAGAGGGAAACAACCCAGACCGCCAGCUAAGGUCCCAAAGUCAUGGUUAAGUGGGAAACGAUGUGGGAAGGCCCAGACAGCCAGGAUGUUGGCUUAGAAGCAGCCAUCAUUUAAAGAAAGCGUAAUAGCUCACUGGUCGAGUCGGCCUGCGCGGAAGAUGUAACGGGGCUAAACCAUGCACCGAAGCUGCGGCAGCGACGCUGAUGCGUUGUUGGGUAGGGGAGCGUUCUGUAAGCCUGCGAAGGUGGCCUGUGAGGGUUGCUGGAGGUAU
Molecule: ribosomal RNA, 575 nt
Filed under: Salmonella enterica
Lineage: Bacteria; Pseudomonadati; Pseudomonadota; Gammaproteobacteria; Enterobacterales; Enterobacteriaceae
Also listed under: 1 other name
Description: partial 23S ribosomal RNA
Rfam family: Bacterial large subunit ribosomal RNA
Source: RNAcentral